GCGGGAGCGAGUGAGCAGCCACGGAUUUUCGUUGCCGAGAGGAGAACGCGACUUCCCCGCCACGGCUCGUCGAAACAGUUUCUCAGAAUGGCAGAGAUGGCUUUGAUGGAGAGGUUGGAAAACGCUGUCAUUAGGCUUGAAUCGUUAUUGUCAGGUUCACACAGGGCUGCUGGAAUGGAAUGUGGAACUGUCAAUGGAGUCAAUGGAGAUGUAGCCCCACACGUUGAAGCCUUUGAUAGACUUGUGAAAGGGAGUGUAGCUGAGUUUCUGAGGAAUAGCAACGUCCUUGAUGGUGAUGUGAAGACACAUGCAGAAAUGGUUCGAGCAGCUUUCCAAGCACAAAGAGCAUUUCUACUGUUGACCUCACAAUAUCAGGAACCUCAGGAGCAUGAAGUGGCCAUUCUUCUAAAACCAAUAUCAGACAUGAUCCAUGAAAUCCAGAUGUUCAGAGAAAGAAAUCGAGGAAGUAACAUGUUUAAUCAUCUCUCUGCUGUCAGUGAAAGUGUUCCAGCUCUUGGAUGGAUAGCAGUCUCUCCUAAGCCAGGGCCUUAUGUCAAGGAGAUGAAUGAUGCUGCUACCUUUUAUACUAACAGGGUGUUAAAAGACUACAAACAUAGUGACUUGCGUCAUGUUGAUUGGGUGAAGUCAUUCUUGAAUAUUUGGGCAGAGCUUCAAGCAUACAUCAAAGAAUAUCAUACUACUGGCCUCACCUGGAGUAAAACUGGCCCAAUUGCCUCAGAAGCAUCUGGGCUAUCUACUGUGGCAAGAAACCAAGGCCCUCCUCCUCCUCCUCCUCCACCACCACCACCACCACCACCACCAGGACCUCCUCCUGUCUUCGAUACAGAAAAUGCAAAAGACGAUUCAACUGCAACUCGCUCAGCCUUAUUUGCCCAGUUGAACCAGGGAGAAACGAUCACCAAAGGGCUUCGCCAUGUCUCUGAUGACCAGAAGACCCAUAAGAACCCCAAUCUUCGUGCUCAAGGGGUGCCGAUUCGAUCUCCUACAAGAAGCCAUACUCCAAAUCCAACAACUCCCAAGAUGCCUCCUCCUCAGAGCCACUGCCCUGUGUUAGAACUUGAGGGAAAGAAAUGGAGAGUGGAAUACCAGGAGGACAAGAAUGACCUUUUAAUUACUGACACUGAACUCAAGCAAGUAGCUUACAUUUUCAAGUGCAACAAAUCUACCUUACAGAUAAAAGGAAAAAUAAAUUCCAUUACGGUUGACAACUGCAGAAAGUUUGGUCUCGUAUUUGUCAAUGUUGUGGGUAUUGUUGAAGUGAUCAAUUCCAGGGAUAUUCAGAUUCAGGUACUAGGGAAGGUGCCAACCAUUUCAAUUAACAAGACUGAAGGCUGCCAUAUAUACCUCAGUAAGGAAUCAUUAGACUGUGAGAUUGUGAGCGCUAAGUCAUCUGAAAUGAACAUCCUUAUCCCACAGGACGGUGAUUACAACCCUUACAGUUAUCCAGCCUUAUGACUCCAAACAUAAACAUCCGCCAAGAUCCUCAACUUCACUGAUGCAUCUGGGGCACCCCACAAAGGAUACAGGCCAGUUGCUCAUGGAGCUGAUCAAACAGAAAUUGUAGAGCUCCAGCGCAGCUCUCUGCUCUGGAUGGGCAACCAGGCAGCCAUUCAGUAUUCAGCAACAAGGAUGUUCUGCACCCUCAGUGCCAUGCAAACCGCAAGCGAGUCCUAUGACAGCAGUAGUGAGAAGCCAGCUGUUCCUCUGUAGGGUUGCCACCUUUAUGUCCUAGCAGGGUUCGUGUGCCAUUCCAGAAUACAUCACAGGCAGUAAUGUAACAAGAGCAGCAUUAUUUAGCAUGGAGACAGCUGCGCCUGUUCCAUUCUAUUGUGGGUGUUUUCAAAGGCACAGGAGCCCUGUAGAAACGAAAGGGUUGUCAAUCCAAUUCUUCUGUGGUGCCGUCAGUGCAAAAAUGAUAUUGUUCAAUAAAAGCUGUGACUGUU
Molecule: RNA transcript, 1964 nt
Organism: Elgaria multicarinata webbii
Lineage: Eukaryota; Metazoa; Chordata; Lepidosauria; Squamata; Anguidae
Gene: CAP2
Gene name: cyclase associated actin cytoskeleton regulatory protein 2
Exons: 15
Source: RefSeq, a predicted model, not a curated record